Molecule: ribosomal RNA, 699 nt
Filed under: Triticum aestivum (bread wheat)
Lineage: Eukaryota; Viridiplantae; Streptophyta; Magnoliopsida; Poales; Poaceae
Description: partial small subunit ribosomal RNA
Source: RNAcentral
AUGCUCAUACAAGUAUUAUCACAUGAUCAGUUCAUCGUUGCAGCAGUCACAUUGUGGUCUAUCUGGCAUGCCCGACGCAAAGCUAUUCACAAAUCCAUUUUUCAGAGCCCCCAAUCUACAUUCAGCUUUAUUGGAAGGUUUAUUGCAGAACUUGAUACUAUAAAAACCAUGAAACCAGAACGAGUCGCUGCACCAGUUCAGAGAAGGCCGAAGAAACCUCCGCCAGGGUAUUGCAAGAUUCAUGUGGAUGCAAGAGUUGUGGUAAGAAGAGGAGGAUCUGCGGCAGCUGUUUGCAGAGAUGGGGAGGGAAACUACAUGGGUAGUUCGGCUCUAGUGAUCGAGGGAGUGGAAGAUCCUGCAACACUUGAGGCUAUCGCGUGCCGGGAGGCGUUAUCCCUUGCGGAAAAUAUGGGUAUCCAGAAUUUUGUUAUCGCCUCAGACUGCCAACAAGUCGUUUCAGAUAUCAACAGGACGUCACACGGGUCGUAUGGAGCGAUCAUCGCAGAAAUAAACCCUAGAGCGUCUUUCUUUCAAUGUAUUUCUUCCUUUGAGAGUCGUGUUGUUAAUUAUGAAGCACAUAGUUUAGCCAAGUUUUCCCUCUCAAGAGGUCCGGGGCGCCACGUUUGGUUUGGUGCUCCUCACGACCAGAGAUGUAUCCCGCUUCAUGCGGAUUUUGCUGAANNNNNNNNNNUAUUCUGA